RNAcentral lists this ribosomal RNA (497 nucleotides) under uncultured bacterium. RNAcentral describes it as "partial 16S ribosomal RNA". It matches the Rfam family "Bacterial small subunit ribosomal RNA", at positions 28 to 507 of the family's 1533-position model. The record is from RNAcentral.
GAUGAACGCUGGCGGCGUGCCUAAUACAUGCAAGUCGAGCGAACGGACGAGAAGCUUGCUUCUCUGAUGUUAGCGGCGGACGGGUGAGUAACACGUGGAUAACCUACCUAUAAGACUGGGAUAACUUCGGGAAACCGGAGCUAAUACCGGAUAAUAUUUUGAACCGCAUGGUUCAAAAGUGAAAGACGGUCUUGCUGUCACUUAUAGAUGGAUCCGCGCUGCAUUAGCUAGUUGGUAAGGUAACGGCUUACCAAGGCAACGAUGCAUAGCCGACCUGAGAGGGUGAUCGGCCACACUGGAACUGAGCCACGGUCCAGACUCCUACGGGAGGCAGCAGUAGGGACUCUUCCGCAAUGGGCGAAAGCCUGACGGAGCAACGCCGCGUGAGUGAUGAAGGUCUUCGGAUCGUAAAACUCUGUUAUUAGGGAAGAACAUAUGUGUAAGUAACUGUGCACAUCUUGACGGUACCUAAUCAGAAAGCCACGGCUAACUACGUG